GAGGAAUAUUGGUCAAUGGACGCAAGUCUGAACCAGCCAUCCCGCGUGCAGGAAGAAGGCCCUAUGGGUUGUAAACUGCUUUUAUACACCAAGAAACCCCUUCUCGUGAGGAGGGCUGACGGUAGUGUGUGAAUAAGCACCGGCUAACUCCGUGCCAGCAGCCGCGGUAAUACGGAGGGUGCAAGCGUUAUCCGGAUUUAUUGGGUUUAAAGGGUGCGUAGGCGGGUCUGUAAGUCAGUGGUGAAAGCCUUCAGCUUAACUGGAGAAUUGCCAUUGAUACUGCUGACCUUGAAUUCGGUUGAAGUGGGCGGAAUGUGUGGUGUAGCGGUGAAAUGCAUAGAUAUCACACAGAACACCGAUUGCGAAGGCAGCUCACUAAGCCGACAUUGACGCUGAGGCACGAAAGCGUGGGGAGCGAAC
This 420-nucleotide ribosomal RNA is filed under the name uncultured bacterium. RNAcentral describes it as "bacterial SSU rRNA". It matches the Rfam family "Bacterial small subunit ribosomal RNA", at positions 356 to 773 of the family's 1533-position model. The record is from RNAcentral.